GACGAACGCUGGCGGCGUGCCUAAUACAUGCAAGUAGAACGCUGAAGGAGGAGCUUGCUCUUCUGGAUGAGUUGCGAACGGGUGAGUAACGCGUAGGUAACCUGCCUGGUAGCGGGGGAUAACUAUUGGAAACGAUAGCUAAUACCGCAUAACAUUGACUAUUGCAUGAUAGUCAAUUGAAAGGUGCAAAUGCACCACUACCAGAUGGACCUGCGUUGUAUUAGCUAGUUGGUGGGGUAACGGCUCACCAAGGCGACGAUACAUAGCCGACCUGAGAGGGUGAUCGGCCACACUGGGACUGAGACACGGCCCAGACUCCUACGGGAGGCAGCAGUAGGGAAUCUUCGGCAAUGGACGGAAGUCUGACCGAGCAACGCCGCGUGAGUGAAGAAGGUUUUCGGAUCGUAAAGCUCUGUUGUAAGAGAAGAACGAGUGUGAGAGGGAAAGUUCACAC
RNAcentral lists this ribosomal RNA (454 nucleotides) under Streptococcus cristatus. RNAcentral describes it as "bacterial SSU rRNA". It matches the Rfam family "Bacterial small subunit ribosomal RNA", at positions 28 to 469 of the family's 1533-position model. The record is from RNAcentral. Lineage: Bacteria; Bacillati; Bacillota; Bacilli; Lactobacillales; Streptococcaceae.